Long non-coding RNA from Hyla sarda, 350 nucleotides. RefSeq lists it as uncharacterized. The transcript is spliced from 3 exons. Lineage: Eukaryota; Metazoa; Chordata; Amphibia; Anura; Hylidae. The record is from RefSeq and is a predicted model, not a curated record.
AUAGGACUCUGCUAGGCUAUUUCUUCAUCAUCAUCUGGGACUGCCGCACAGAGGAUUCAGCGCGAUAAACCACCCAGGCACUGUUAUAACAAUACCUGUUUCCAGUGCGAACUGCCCGAGUUGUCAGAAAAGACCGAGAUCUUCUGGUUACAUUAAAGAGAACCUUGGCUCUGGAUGAGAAUUUUAUAACAUUUAGCGGAGUAUCUCACAUAUAAUCUGCUGCAGUCUUCAUGCUAGUGAUAUUCUUUAUGAGCUCCUCACUUCUUACACCUUCCUACACAUCUUGUGACAGGCCGUCUAGACCCAUCCCAUUAUUUUCCUGCCAAAAAUAAAAAUGGACUUUAAAAAAA